GUGAUGGCGAAGUGACAGCGCGCCCGGUGCACGCUGAGAGGAGGCCCCGCUUCAGCCUCAGGACUCGGCUCUUACUCCAGGGAGCUCCGUUCCUCCGGAAGUGGUUGACAUUGCCAAGGCAUACCUACUGGCCUCCCCUGUGCGCCUCGUCUCCUCCAGCCGACCCCGUGCCUGCCCUGUUGUGCGGUCCGUGUCUAUGCAGCUGGAGCCCCGGCGGCCCGGAGCUGGGGAUGUGUGUCACUCGUCUUUGCUUUCCCAGUGUGGAGCCUGGAACACGGAUCUCUGGAGAGAUUAGGGGUAAUCUAAAAAUCACGUUUUCAUUAAUGUUCCUGAUUCUGCACCCUGACCAUGUGUUAUCUGUGUAAGUAUCAAAAGUAACAAAAGAUUUUAAGGACACCCAGGGACGUGGAAGGUGGAGUGGACAUUGGUCUGGAAAUGAUAGGGAAAUAACAAAAGCUAGGGGCGUGAGUGCACUCGGGCAGCACGGGGCCGGG
This 494-nucleotide long non-coding RNA is filed under the name Felis catus (domestic cat). Its description in RNAcentral is "lncRNA (ENSFCAG00000049139.1)". The record is from RNAcentral. Lineage: Eukaryota; Metazoa; Chordata; Mammalia; Carnivora; Felidae.